This 374-nucleotide ribosomal RNA is filed under the name uncultured organism. Its description in RNAcentral is "partial 16S ribosomal RNA". It matches the Rfam family "Bacterial small subunit ribosomal RNA", at positions 527 to 896 of the family's 1533-position model. The record is from RNAcentral.
GGGGGGAGCAAGCGUUGUUCGGAAUCAUUGGGCGUAAAGAGCUCGUAGGCGGCUCCAUAAGUCAGAGGUGAAAUCCAAUGGCUCAACCAUUGGCACGCCUUUGAAACUAUGGAACUUGAGUUCAGGAGAGGAAAGCGGAAUUCCAGGUGUAGCGGUGAAAUGCGUAGAUAUCUGGAGGGACACCGGUGGCGAAGGCGGCUUUCUGGCCUGAAACUGACGCUGAGGAGCGAAAGCCAGGGGGGAGCAAACGGGAUUAGAUACCCCGGUAGUCCUGGCCGUAAACGAUGGGCACUAGGUGUGGGGAGUUCGACCCCUUUCCGUGCCGCAGUUAACGCAUUAAGUGCCCCGCCCGGGGGAGUACGACCGCAAGGUUG